UACGGAGGAUCCAAGCGUUAUCCGGAUUUAUUGGGUUUAAAGGGUGCGUAGGUGGUUUAUUAAGUCAGGGGUGAAAGACGGCAGCUUAACUGUCGCAGUGCCUUUGAUACUGAUGAACUUGAAUAAACUAGAGGUAGGCGGAAUGUGACAAGUAGCGGUGAAAUGCAUAGAUAUGUCACAGAACACCAAUUGCGAAGGCAGCUUACUAUGGUUUGAUUGACACUGAGGCACGAAAGCGUGGGGAUCAAACAGG
RNAcentral lists this ribosomal RNA (253 nucleotides) under uncultured bacterium. RNAcentral describes it as "partial 16S ribosomal RNA". It matches the Rfam family "Bacterial small subunit ribosomal RNA", at positions 524 to 776 of the family's 1533-position model. The record is from RNAcentral.